RNAcentral lists this ribosomal RNA (548 nucleotides) under uncultured Bacteroidota bacterium. Its description in RNAcentral is "bacterial SSU rRNA". It matches the Rfam family "Bacterial small subunit ribosomal RNA", at positions 35 to 573 of the family's 1533-position model. The record is from RNAcentral. Lineage: Bacteria; Pseudomonadati; Bacteroidota.
GCUAGCGGGAGGCUUAAUACAUGCAAGUCGAGGGGCAGCGGGGCUAAACCUAGUUUAGCCGCCGGCGACCGGCGCACGGGUGAGUAACGCGUACGCAACUUACCUCCAAGCGGGGCAUAGCCCUGGGAAACUGGGAUUAAUACCCCAUAGUAUUCAUUGAUCGCAUGAUAAAUGGAUUAAAGUGUUAGCGCUUGGAGAUGGGCGUGCGUCCUAUUAGCUAGUUGGCGAGGUAACGGCUCACCAAGGCGACGAUAGGUAGGGGGCGUGAGAGCGUGACCCCCCACACGGGUACUGAGACACGGACCCGACUCCUACGGGAGGCAGCAGUAAGGAAUAUUGGACAAUGGGCGAAAGCCUGAUCCAGCCAUCCCGCGUGCAGGAUGACGGCCCUAUGGGUUGUAAACUGCUUUUAUUAGGGAAGAAACCUGGGGAUUAUUUCCCAGCUGACGGUACCUUAUGAAUAAGCACCGGCUAACUCCGUGCCAGCAGCCGCGGUAAUACGGAGGGUGCAAGCGUUAUCCGGAAUCACUGGGUUUAAAGGGUGCGUA